CACGUAGGAGGCGAGCGUUGUCCGGAAUCAUUGGGCGUAAAGAGCGCGCAGGCGGCUUGGCAAGUCGGGUGUGAAAUCCCGGGGCUCAACCCCGGGACUGCAUUCGAUACUGUCAGGCUAGAGGUAGGUAGGGGAGAUCGGAAUUCCUGGUGUAGCGGUGAAAUGCGCAGAUAUCAGGAGGAACACCGGUGGCGAAGGCGGAUCUCUGGGACGGUACUGACGCUGAGACGCGAAAGCGUGGGGAGCGAACAGG
This 253-nucleotide ribosomal RNA is filed under the name uncultured bacterium. RNAcentral's name for it is "partial 16S ribosomal RNA". It matches the Rfam family "Bacterial small subunit ribosomal RNA", at positions 524 to 776 of the family's 1533-position model. The record is from RNAcentral.